This 467-nucleotide ribosomal RNA is filed under the name uncultured bacterium. Its description in RNAcentral is "partial 16S ribosomal RNA". It matches the Rfam family "Bacterial small subunit ribosomal RNA", at positions 28 to 507 of the family's 1533-position model. The record is from RNAcentral.
GAUGAACGCUGGCGGCGUGCUUAACACAUGCAAGUCGAACGGAAAGGCUCCUGCUUGCAGGGGUACUCGAGUGGCGAACGGGUGAGUAACACGUGGGUGAUCUGCCCUGCACUUCGGGAUAAGCCUGGGAAACUGGGUCUAAUACCGGAUAGGACGAUGGUUUGGAUGCCAUUGUGGAAAGUUUUUUCGGUGUGGGAUGAGCUCGCGGCCUAUCAGCUUGUUGGUGGGGUAAUGGCCUACCAAGGCGUCGACGGGUAGCCGGCCUGAGAGGGUGUACGGCCCACUUGGGGACGGAGUAACGCCCCAGCCCCCGAGGGGGGGAGGAGGGGGGAAAUUUGGAACAAGGGGCGCAGGCCUGAGGCAGCGCCGCCGGGGGGGGGAGGGCGGCCUUCGGUUGAAAACCUCUUUCCGCAGGGAAGAAAGCCAAGGGGAGGGUACCUGGAAAAAAAACCCCGGCUACCUACGUC